UACGUAGGGUGCAAGCGUUAUCCGGAAUUAUUGGGCGUAAAGAGCUCGUAGGCGGUUUGUCGCGUCUGCUGUGAAAACUGGGGGCUCAACCCCCAGCCUGCAGUGGGUACGGGCAAACUAGAGUGCGGUAGGGGAGAUUGGAAUUCCUGGUGUAGCGGUGGAAUGCGCAGAUAUCAGGAGGAACACCGAUGGCGAAGGCAGAUCUCUGGGCCGUGAACUGACGCUGAGGAGCGAAAGCAUGGGGAGCGAACAGG
RNAcentral lists this ribosomal RNA (254 nucleotides) under uncultured bacterium. RNAcentral's name for it is "partial 16S ribosomal RNA". It matches the Rfam family "Bacterial small subunit ribosomal RNA", at positions 524 to 776 of the family's 1533-position model. The record is from RNAcentral.